Molecule: long non-coding RNA, 2929 nt
Organism: Lycium ferocissimum
Lineage: Eukaryota; Viridiplantae; Streptophyta; Magnoliopsida; Solanales; Solanaceae
Exons: 3
Source: RefSeq, a predicted model, not a curated record
UUCCUAAAAACACCUCUUCGGCCCAAUAAACACUGCUUUCACAAUUUAAAACUCAGUAAGUCACGCCUCUUCCUCUUAUAUAUUGGACUCUCUCGCUUUUCCGGUUGAAUUUCACGCCUAACAAGUACUUCCUGAGGUUGGACGCUCUCACUUUACCGGUUGUUGAUGUUGCUUUUUUAUUUUGCAUUGAUUGACAGGUUGGUACUACUUACAAUUCGCUUAGCCAGACUUAUCUUCAACAAUGAUAUUUUGCCUAUUAAAUGAUGUAUGAAGUGCAAUUGGUUUGUUCUUAUAGAAAAUACGCUAUGUCAAUUGACUAAUGAAAAAUAUCAUUCUUGUAAUGGUUUGUAGGACCAAUAUUAUCGAAUACCUAAGAGAAGGCUUCCUAAUUACUUUUCAGGGUUAUUAUUUUGGGAUUUUGGCUUUUUGCGGUACGAUCAAACUUGGAUGAAUACUUGCUGUGUAUUUAUUAACAUUACUCAUACUGAGCCAUGUUUUUUUUUUUUUUAUUCAUUAAGAAGAGAUAUUGAGCCAUAUUCUCCUCCAAAAAGUUAUUUGACAAAUCAGAUUUUUUUGAAUGCCGUAUAUUUUUUAGGAGUGAAUUUAUCAUUUUCUUCCUCUGAUCUUUGUCUUGAAUGAGUUCAAGAAUAUUUUUUUUUGCUAAUUAACACAAAUUUUGAUUGCCCCAAAUCUUGCAUUAGUAGUAUUUUAGUGUUUGAAGUUUGAAACAAUAGCAAUAUCUUUAUUACUUGGUUAAUUACUAAGUUGUUACUUUAUGAAAACUUGGAUGUGAAUUGAUUUUCUAUCUUUCAAAGAAAAUGGGUUAGCCUGCAAGUUGCAUUAUCUGUUCAAGUAAUAUAUUACUUUGUGAAUGACUAUGUGGUUAAUUAUUUUUUCUGAAAAAUCAUGUGAACUCAGUGUAGAAUCCAUCUAUUAAGAGAACCUUUGCAUAUUAUCUCGAAUAUUUGAGUACCUGCUGAAUCUAAUAUGACACUGUUUUUUCACCUUUCUGUAGGCACUUUAUUUGAUUUUAGGAAGAAAAUUUUGACGGAUAUGGAUUCUUACAUGUGAAGUUUUUCCUAAUGAUAUUUAAAUCGGCUUUGUACAGUUAGAUAAAGCAUGUGAUAAGCCAAAAUACAAAAUCUCCUGAAAUCUCCUGCCAAUCUCUAUAUGUAUAUAUAACUGGAGGACAUGAGCCCGGUGACGUGGCGCAACCCAAAAACAGGAAUUGUAUUUAUCUAUUUUUACAAAUUUUUGAAAUUUCCUCUGCUUUCCAGCGUAAAAAUAAAACAUAAAAAAACUGGAAAAACCAAACGACGCUUUUAAUAGACUAAUCGUUUUACAAUUGUUCCUACUCUUCUCUCUCUCUCUCUCUCUCUCCCUGUUCUUCCUGCAUUCCCCGUUCCAUUUACCCCGAGUAGACUUACUUGCGUAUUCCUUUCUUCCCUUCCUCUCUCUGUAUUCUUCCUUCAUUCUUAAGUCCAUUUUCCCUCCUACCUUUACGUGCAAUUUGCAGGUUUCAAUUACUCUCCUCUCUGCAUUCUUCCUCCAAUAAAUCUACUUAAAAUACUACAAUUCGGCACAGGUAUGCAAAUUUCCGUUUUUCAAUCACUUUAGGUAUGCAGCUUUUUGUUUUUCGACCAGUUUAUUUUACUUUUGUUGCAUCUCGGCCACUUAACUAUUCCCUUGGAGAUUUUCUUACACUUCUUUGUUUUACUAAAACAUGGCUCUUUAACUCCCAUAUCACAGAUAAAGUAGUAUUUUUUGGUAAGAAAAUUGACUCUCUAUACCACUUUAACAUUUCUCUGGAAUUCUCUUACUCUGAGUGAUAAUAUCUUAAGAAUUUACACUGUUGGAAAACAUGUUCUUUCUAAUAGGUCUGAACUUUUUCGAGAAUUAUCAUUUUCACUGUUGGAGAAGCUGUUCUUCCCAAUAGGUCUCAAGUUAUGCGAGAAUUCUCAUGGGAGGCGUAGAAAAUAACUCCGGCACAGGAUUACUUCGAUGGAUAAAAAAAUUGUACAAUAUCAUGCACAUCAAUUUUCUCAAUGGUGACCCAUAUCGAAAUGAAUAACACUGGAACUUCCAACCGUUAGCGCAAAGAACAGGAUAAUUGUGACACAACAUCACCAUGGAUAACUAAGGGAUUGCGGAAAACAAGUUUACUUGGGUAACCAAAUGUCUUUGUUCAUGAAUUGUUUCUAAGUAACUAUGAAUUGUUUUAAGUGAACAUUUUAAUGAGAAUUUGAAUCUUACAGGGGGUUUGACGUUGCGCAUGCUGCUGCUAGGUAUGACAUAGUAGUUAGAAUGAGUUUUAUUGUAGUAAAGAUAUAAUGACACUAUUUAAAUGGAGAAAUCGGACGGUUAUGGUGUUAAAAUUUUCUAUUAAUAUCAGGGCACUUGAUCGUCUUUGCGAUUAAAUUUAGAGGCCUGGAUGCAGAUAUCAAUAUCAAUUCAGUGAUUCUCAUAAUGAUCUAAAGAAUCGCGGGUAGAUAGCUAAUUCUUGAAUUACCACCUAAAUUAGAAAUCUUUUAAUCCCAAUUCGGAAGCUGAUCUUGGCUUACUGUUAUCGUCUUGUGACUUGGUAUCUAGAUGUCUAAUUUCUCAAAGGAAGAUUUUGUGCACAUACUUCGACAUCAAAGCACUGGGUUCUCUAGAGGAAGCUCGAAAUAUUGGGGAGUCAUGUUGCACAAAUGUGGACAAUGAGAAGCUUGGAUAGGGCAACUUCUCAUAAAGAAGUGACUUAUCAUUUAUCUCACCAUAGCUUAGGAAUGUCAUAAUAUCAGUGAUACAACUGUUAAAAAGCUUUCUUGGUAUAUUAUCAUGUCAUUAUACAGAUUUUAUAAUCUAGAAGGAACAGAGUGAAUACGAGUAUCAUUCCCACAUGUAAGAUGUACUUUUUGUCAAAUUUAGUUGAACCAUUUUGAAUUAU